This 29-nucleotide non-coding RNA is filed under the name Mus musculus (house mouse). The record is from RNAcentral. Lineage: Eukaryota; Metazoa; Chordata; Mammalia; Rodentia; Muridae.
GCUUACAAGACAAGGUUUUAGUUGUGUCC